AACGAACGCUGGCGGCAGGCCUAAUACAUGCAAGUCGAACGCCCCUUCGGGGGAGUGGCGCACGGGUGAGUAACGCGUGGGAAUGUGCCCUUGGGUACGGAACAACACCGGGAAACUGGUGCUAAUACCGUAUAAUGUCUUCGGACCAAAGAUUUAUCGCCCAGGGAUCAGCCCGCGUAGGAUUAGCUAGUUGGUGAGGUAAUGGCUCACCAAGGCUACGAUCCUUAGCUGGUCUUAGAGGAUGAUCAGCCACACUGGAACUGAGACACGGUCCAGACUCCUACGGGAGGCAGCAGUAAGGAAUAUUGGACAAUGGGGGAAACCCUGAUCCAGCCAUGCCGCGUGAAUGAAGAAGGCCUUAGGGUUGUAAAGUUCUUUUAGUGGUGACGAUAAUGACGGUAGCCACAGAAAAAGCUCCGGCUAACUCCGUGCCAGCAGCCGCGGUAA
Molecule: ribosomal RNA, 447 nt
Filed under: uncultured bacterium
Lineage: Bacteria
Description: partial 16S ribosomal RNA
Rfam family: Bacterial small subunit ribosomal RNA
Source: RNAcentral